RNAcentral lists this ribosomal RNA (403 nucleotides) under bacterium enrichment culture clone ALO1_GLFRUDD03F0Y7Q. RNAcentral describes it as "bacterial SSU rRNA". It matches the Rfam family "Bacterial small subunit ribosomal RNA", at positions 9 to 412 of the family's 1533-position model. The record is from RNAcentral.
GAGUUUGAUCGUGGCUCAGAUUGAACGCUGGCGGCAUGCCUUACACAUGCAAGUCGAACGGCAGCACGGGAGCUUGCUCCUGGUGGGCGAGUGGCGAACGGGUGAGUAAUGCAUCGGAACGUAUCCUGGAGUGGGGGAUAACGUAGCGAAAGUUACGCUAAUACCGCAUAUUCUGUGAGCAGGAAAGCGGGGGACCUUCGGGCCUCGCGCUCUUGGAGCGGCCGAUGUCGGAUUAGCUAGUUGGUGAGGUAAAGGCUCACCAAGGCGACGAUCCGUAGCAGGUCUGAGAGGAUGAUCUGCCACACUGGAACUGAGACACGGUCCAGACUCCUACGGGAGGCAGCAGUGGGGAAUUUUGGACAAUGGGGGCAACCCUGAUCCAGCCAUGCGCGUGAGUGAAGAA